RNAcentral lists this ribosomal RNA (100 nucleotides) under uncultured bacterium. RNAcentral's name for it is "partial 16S ribosomal RNA". It matches the Rfam family "Bacterial small subunit ribosomal RNA", at positions 1384 to 1482 of the family's 1533-position model. The record is from RNAcentral.
UACACACCGCCCGUCACACCAUGGGAGUGGGUUUCACCAGAAGUAGGUAGUCUAACCGCAAGGAGGGACGCUUACCACGGUGAGAUUCAUGACUGGGGUG